This 999-nucleotide ribosomal RNA is filed under the name Bacillus amyloliquefaciens. RNAcentral's name for it is "bacterial SSU rRNA". It matches the Rfam family "Bacterial small subunit ribosomal RNA", at positions 32 to 1016 of the family's 1533-position model. The record is from RNAcentral. Lineage: Bacteria; Bacillati; Bacillota; Bacilli; Caryophanales; Bacillaceae.
UAGGCUGGGCGGGUGCUAUACAUGCAAGUCGAGCGGACAGAUGGGAGCUUGCUCCCUGAUGUUAGCGGCGGACGGGUGAGUAACACGUGGGUAACCUGCCUGUAAGACUGGGAUAACUCCGGGAAACCGGGGCUAAUACCGGAUGGUUGUCUGAACCGCAUGGUUCAGACAUAAAAGGUGGCUUCGGCUACCACUUACAGAUGGACCCGCGGCGCAUUAGCUAGUUGGUGAGGUAACGGCUCACCAAGGCGACGAUGCGUAGCCGACCUGAGAGGGUGAUCGGCCACACUGGGACUGAGACACGGCCCAGACUCCUACGGGAGGCAGCAGUAGGGAAUCUUCCGCAAUGGACGAAAGUCUGACGGAGCAACGCCGCGUGAGUGAUGAAGGUUUUCGGAUCGUAAAGCUCUGUUGUUAGGGAAGAACAAGUGCCGUUCAAAUAGGGCGGCACCUUGACGGUACCUAACCAGAAAGCCACGGCUAACUACGUGCCAGCAGCCGCGGUAAUACGUAGGUGGCAAGCGUUGUCCGGAAUUAUUGGGCGUAAAGGGCUCGCAGGCGGUUUCUUAAGUCUGAUGUGAAAGCCCCCGGCUCAACCGGGGAGGGUCAUUGGAAACUGGGGAACUUGAGUGCAGAAGAGGAGAGUGGAAUUCCACGUGUAGCGGUGAAAUGCGUAGAGAUGUGGAGGAACACCAGUGGCGAAGGCGACUCUCUGGUCUGUAACUGACGCUGAGGAGCGAAAGCGUGGGGAGCGAACAGGAUUAGAUACCCUGGUAGUCCACGCCGUAAACGAUGAGUGCUAAGUGUUAGGGGGUUUCCGCCCCUUAGUGCUGCAGCUAACGCAUUAAGCACUCCGCCUGGGGAGUACGGUCGCAAGACUGAAACUCAAAGGAAUUGACGGGGGCCCGCACAAGCGGUGGAACAUGUGGUUUAAUUCGAAGCAACGCGAAGAACCUUACCAGGUCUUGACUCCUCUGACAUCCUAAAGAUAGGACGCCC